GUCUUUCGUCUUCUUGUUGGGCUCGCUUUCGGAUCGUCUCGCUGCUGCUCCCGACUGCACGCAAGGCUUCAGUAUUAGUGCUGAUCUACCUGCCUGCAUUCUCCAAGAUACUUCUGCAGCAAAUAGGAGUGAUUGGAAGUCAUGACCCCUUAGCAGAGGGUUGGGACAAACUCUUCCCACAGGAGUUGAAAAGAGAUGUGGGAAGAAAUGCAAUGGCAAAUACCACUGAGGGAAUGACUACCCUUCUCCCAGGAAAGCACAGCACUACCUUAUGUUCCCUUUGCAGCUGUAGCUGCAAGCCUGGCUCUGUCUGAGGCCAUGCAGGCCAGAGGCAAAGUCUGGCUGCUCAGAAGGCAAGUGCUGCUUUGACUUCUGUCUCAGCUUCCUAGAGAGGCAGAAAUCAGAUUGCAAACAAAGCUAAGGAACAUUCAUAGGCUCUCCAUAAAGCCAUUCCAAGGAAUAUUUUAUUGCAAUUUUCAAAUGCAGGCAAGUAGCUACACUGCCUGCGCCCAGUAUUGGCCAUGUCUCCAAAUACGUAUCCAGAAAGGAAGGCAGGUAGGGGCAAGAGUGGGAAAGAUUUAACUGUUCAGAAAUCACAAAUUUAGGCACCUCCUCAUUCCCACCUACUUUAUUUUGUAUCUAAACAUACUUUUUUAGAUAUUAAAAAUUUUGGAUGCACAGACUCCAAACACGUCUAGCAAACAUUAGCAAUCUCAAAACACCUUGAAAAAUGCCAUAUUCCAAACCUUCAAACAUUCAAUUGAUAGUCAAUCUGUAGGAUCUUUCCAUUCAUCUCUAACUGAAAAUCAUCAUAUUCUGUAAUACCUUUCACCCUGGAUUCAAAUGUUUAACACUUGACCAGUGGGUCAGAGGAGUUGAACCUUCCUUUCCACUCCACAUCCACAGUACUACGUCCAGGUCUGAGGCCCUCACUGUGAGAAGGGCACAGACCUGUUGUAGCAAGUAGGAGGUCCAUGAGGAAGAUCGGAGAGCUCUAGGAGUAUCCUGUGAAGAUGAACUGAGAGAGGUGGAGCUGUUCAGCUUAGAAAAGGCUCCAGGGAGACCUUAUAGGAGCCUUCUAGUGCCUACAGAAAACUGGAGAGGAAAUCCUUAUCAGGAAAUGUGGUGAUAGGACAAGGGGUAAUGGCUUUAAGCUGAAAGAGGGUAGGUUAGACAUUAGUAAUAAAAUCCUUACUUGGAGAGUGAUAAGGCUCUGGAACAGGCUGCCCAGAGAUGUUAUGGAUGCCCUAACCGUGGAGGUGUUCAAGGCUAGAUUGGACAGGGCUUUGAGCAACCUGGUCUAGCAGGAGGUGUCCCUCCCCAUGGCAGGAGGCUUGUAACUAGGUGAUCUUUAAGAUCCCUUUGAGUCCUAAUCAUCGUAUCAUUCUAUGAUUGCAUACUAAAGGCUAUCAUUAAAGUUAAUGAAUAUCUUAAUCAGGCAGAGUGCACAGGAAAGGAACUUCACAGGUUUAUUGUUUUCUCUCUUGUGUGCUUGGUACUGAAGGCAACACCAUAUGUGACAAAUACUCAAUAAUCCUGAUGGGUACUAUUCUUUGCUUGCAAAGAAACAUGCAAAAAUAUCUACAAUUCAGCUAUGUUUUCACAUUGUUGCUGUCACAGUUUUAUCUGGUUCUGGUGACAAGCUGUUGAAGAGACCCACAACUCCAGAGAAAAGGGGUGGGGAAAAGGGAAAAAAAAUGGAGAAAUGGGCCUGGAUGAAGGAAAACAGUAGCAAUGAGAUGAUAAGGAAAAAAAAAAAAACCUUAGUUUACUAAAUACUGCAGUGGAAUGUGAGAUAAUACAAUAUAAUACAAUAUGUUUGGAAUUGAAGCUAAUAAAUAAAAUGAGAAAGAGAGUUUCCAAAACCUCAGUCCUUACUCUAAUGCUGUAGAUGAAGUGACCAGAAAACCAAAAAGAGAAAAAUAUUGACAAUCCAAGGAACUGCAGUAUUAACUCUUUAAAUCCCAGAGCACUGCAUGAUAUUAUGAUGUGAAAUACCUAUGAAAAUCCAUGAAACCGUGACAGCCGCUUUGAGAAAAACAGGACUGUCCAUAAGGGGAACAAGCCAUUAAGGAGAUUUUACAACAUGAAUUCCAAAUUUCUUUUUCAUGGUUCUUCUGUGACUGUAUAUCUGUAUUUACUAUCUCUUUCUAUAGAGUUAUCUACCGUGUUGUACAUUACUAAUUUCAUAUGCAGCAGAGUUUGGUAGCAUUGUGAUUACUGCACUCAGUCAGAAGACAUUUGGGACCAAAACUUGCUAUAGAGCUUAAGCUUGCUAAACUGCCUAUGACACGAGUGAGAGUUGCUUGCAAAGAUAAGAGACAGAGGAUGACCUCAAUGAAUACAAAAUAAAACAACUUUAAAAGAUGGUUUGCCUACAGGAAAGUGCAUCAUUAACCUGCUCUGUAGCUUGAAAUUGUCUACAGGGACAUAUGCAUGCAUAUAUGGAAAAAAAGAAGAAUGUUUAAUGCAUCUAGCCUUGAAAAGUCAGUAAAGCACUUUCUUCAUUCUUUCAGUACGCACAUUCAACAGGAAAUGUGUGUACUUAAAUUUUUUAUUUUAUUUUAUUUUAUUUCCUUUGAGGAAAUUAUAGAUAUGAGAAUAUAGUUGAUUUUUUUCAAUAGAGAAGAAAUGUUUUGUAUUAUAAAAAUACCCUCCCACACACACAUUUCCACGUUCUCAGUUUAACAGCCAUCUUUUUUCCCAAUUUGACUUUCAGUGGGUGCUCCUAUAGCCCAAUUUGCAUGUGUUUAUAUAAUUUUAUUUUAUUUGUUAUUUAUUUUAUCUUACCUUGUAUGUUUUAUAUGUUGUCUAAAUUUACGGGAUAUGAUUAUACAAAUCUUAAGACUGAAGAAAUUGUCAUAGAUGCACAGUUCUGACAGUUAGGAACAAUUGUUCAUCUUCUCCAUGUAAGUUAAUUGUUUCAGUAUUUUUUUACAGGUUGAAUAUACUUUACAUAGGAUCACAAUCAGUUCAUAUGUCUCAAUUCUUACUCCUAUUUUCUUUAUAAUUAUCUGUAUUUUGCUAUUGUUAUCAAGGUCUUGAAUCAGAGCCCCAUCUCCCUCAAUACAGUAUACAUGCUUAAGAAA
This is a long non-coding RNA of Gallus gallus (chicken), 3089 nucleotides long. RefSeq lists it as uncharacterized. The transcript has 2 exons. The record is from RefSeq and is a predicted model, not a curated record. Lineage: Eukaryota; Metazoa; Chordata; Aves; Galliformes; Phasianidae.